UUUAUGCACCUUGCGUGCAGUUGUCAUUUCAUUGUUUUAACCUAACAAACAUCGUCACAAGUAAACUCGAUUCACUAUACACGCUAACUCUGAAGUACCCAUUAAAUGAGUUCCAUGUACCCAUUUUUAUGAACAGUACUGAGUUGUCAGAAAAAGAGUAUUUUUCGAAUGUCAUAAAAAGGGUACUUAAUCCCCAUAACGAAGCUUCCAAUGGAUCAACAAUAAUGGGUAGAUAAUACACAUGAUAGUCUAAAGAACAGCACCGCCAUUUUCCAGUUGUUGUUGCGGUUCUGUUUAUUUUUAGUUGAAUGAAAAUCUGAUGCAGAAGUUUUUGUGUUUGCUGUCUGGAGCAUAUCUUAUAAUCAAAAUUCUACUGGCAGUCAUAAUCAAAAUAUCUUUUAAGAAUCCGGAAAUGGACGUGUCGGUGGUGGCACAAUAAUUUCAAGAGCCCAUUUUCAAUACGCUGCAAUGGAGAACAGAAAUAGUGUCCGGGAACGAGAAAUGUUUUGCUUGAAGGAUCCAUUGGAGAAUCUACGAUCGGCAUUUUAAUAGUUAAAAAGUAUAUGUAAAUAUGACGAAAAUGUAUGACCAAGACUUAAAAUAAUAAAUAUGUGUUGUUUCAUUCAUA
Molecule: long non-coding RNA, 628 nt
Filed under: Aedes aegypti (yellow fever mosquito)
Lineage: Eukaryota; Metazoa; Arthropoda; Insecta; Diptera; Culicidae
Description: lncRNA AAEL022504
Source: RNAcentral